GUCAGUUCGCCACCGGGUGAACUUUAAAGUGUCUGGCAGUCCGUUAGGUCUUAGAAGGAGUGCCAUGGCACUUUUUAUUAUGC
RNAcentral lists this non-coding RNA (83 nucleotides) under unclassified sequences. The record is from RNAcentral.